RNAcentral lists this ribosomal RNA (253 nucleotides) under uncultured bacterium. RNAcentral describes it as "partial 16S ribosomal RNA". It matches the Rfam family "Bacterial small subunit ribosomal RNA", at positions 524 to 776 of the family's 1533-position model. The record is from RNAcentral.
UACGUAGGGGGCGAGCGUUGUCCGGAAUCACUGGGCGUAAAGCGCGCUUAGGCGGCGCGGUGCAUCCCGUGUGAAAGCGCCCGGCUCAACCGGGCGAGGCCACGGGAGAUGGCCGCGCUGGAGGGCGGUAGAGGCAGGCGGAAGGCCCGAAGUAGUGGUGAAAUGCGUAGAGAUCGGGCGGAACACCGGUGGCGAAGGCGGCCUGCUGGGCCGGCCCUGACGCUGAGGCGCGAAAGCCAGGGGAGCGAACGGA